AGCAGCCGCGGUAAUUCCAGCUCCAAUAGCGUAUAUUAAAGUUGUUGCAGUUAAAAAGCUCGUAGUUGAAUUUCGGGAUCAAAGGAUCGGUCAUGCCUUGGUAUGUACUGGUUUUAUUGGUUCUCACCUUCUAAAGAACCAUAAUGUCAUUCAUUUGAUGUUAUGGGGAAUUAGGACUGUUACCUUGAAAAAAUUAGAGUGUUUAAAGCAGGCUUACGCUUGAAUACAUUAGCAUGGAAUAAUGAAAUAGGACAUCAGAUUCUAUUUUGUUGGUUUCUAGGAUCGAUGUAAUGAUUAAUAGGGAUAGUUGGGGGCAUUAGUAUUCAAUUGUCAGAGGUGAAAUUCUUGGAUUUAUUGAAGACUAACUACUGCGAAAGCAUUUGCCAAGGAUGUUUUCAUUAAUCAAGAACGAAAGUUAGGGGAUCGAAGACGAUCAGAUACCGUCGUAGUCUUAACCAUAAACUAUGCCGACUAGGGAUCGGAUGAUGUUAAUUUUAUAAUGACUCAUUCGGCACCUUACG
RNAcentral lists this ribosomal RNA (521 nucleotides) under uncultured Glomeraceae. Its description in RNAcentral is "SSU rRNA". It matches the Rfam family "Eukaryotic small subunit ribosomal RNA", at positions 569 to 1092 of the family's 1831-position model. Lineage: Eukaryota; Fungi; Glomeromycota; Glomeromycetes; Glomerales; Glomeraceae. The record is from RNAcentral.